Long non-coding RNA from Astatotilapia calliptera (eastern happy), 517 nucleotides. NCBI's taxonomy places the organism in Eukaryota, Metazoa, Chordata, Actinopteri, Cichliformes, Cichlidae. The record is from Ensembl.
GAGCGGCGGGCCUUGACCUUCGGGAAAAAAAAACUCACGGACGGUGACAGCGAAACGGAUAACAGUCUUCAGUACCUGCUGGACUUUGAAGCUGUGGAUUCUGGGACUGUUAGAAAAGAGGCAGCGGCGAGAGGGGAGACCUCGGCUCAUCCAGCUGGAGAGCCUGACCAGGAGGAGUCGAACAUUAACUGAGCUCUUCCAGGGCACCCUGCAGACUCGGCUGCUGGCAUCGGCGAGCGAUGACGUGAACGCCAAACUGGAGUCCAUCACAGGUCAACUGCAGCUCCUUGUCUCAGAGUGGGAGGGAUUUGAAGCACAAAGGGAGGAACUUGUCAUUUGGUUGGCUGAUAUGGAUGUGAGGUUGACCAGCUGACAGGAAACACCAGUGAAAAACUGAAACAACUGCAGGUGUGGGCUUGUUUUGAUAUGACAUAUACAGGGAGUGCAGAAUUAUUAGGCAAGUUGUAUUUUUGAGGAAUAAUUUUAUUAUUGAACAACAACCAUGUUCUCAAUGAAC